UGGUUGUCGUCAGCUCGUGUCGUGAGGAUGUUGGGUUAAGUCCCGCAACGAGCGCAACCCUUGCUUUAGUUGCCAUCAUUAAGUUGGGCACUCUAAAGAGACUGCCGGUGUCAAACCGGAGGAAGGUGGGGAUGACGUCAAGUCCUCAUGGCCUUUAUGACCAGGGCUACACACGUACUACAAUGGCAGGUACAAAGGGCAGCCACUUAGCGAUAAGGCGCGAAUCCCGUAAAACCUGUCUCAGUCCGGAUUGGAGUCUGCAACUCGACUCCAUGAAGUUGGAAUCGCUAGUAAUCGCAGAUCAGCACGCUGCGGUGAAUACGUUCCCGGGCCUU
RNAcentral lists this ribosomal RNA (335 nucleotides) under uncultured Desulfocapsa sp. Its description in RNAcentral is "bacterial SSU rRNA". It matches the Rfam family "Bacterial small subunit ribosomal RNA", at positions 1046 to 1382 of the family's 1533-position model. The record is from RNAcentral. Lineage: Bacteria; Pseudomonadati; Thermodesulfobacteriota; Desulfobulbia; Desulfobulbales; Desulfocapsaceae.